Molecule: ribosomal RNA, 472 nt
Filed under: uncultured bacterium
Lineage: Bacteria
Description: partial 16S ribosomal RNA
Rfam family: Bacterial small subunit ribosomal RNA
Source: RNAcentral
GACGAACGCUGGCGGCGUGCUUAACACAUGCAAGUCGAACGAUGAACCCGGAGCUUGCUCUGGGGGAUUAGUGGCGAACGGGUGAGUAACACGUGAGUAACCUGCCCUGGACUCUGGGAUAAGCGUUGGAAACGACGUCUAAUACCGGAUAGGACCUUGGAUCGCAUGAUCUGGGGUGGAAAGUUUUUUCGGUCUGGGAUGGACUCGCGGCCUAUCAGCUUGUUGGUGAGGUAAUGGCUCACCAAGGCGUCGACGGGUAGCCGGCCUGAGAGGGUGAACGGCCACACUGGGACUGAGACACGGCCCAGACUCCUACGGGAGGCAGCAGUGGGGAAUAUUGCACAAUGGGCGAAAGCCUGAUGCAGCAACGCCGCGUGCGGGAUGACGGCCUUCGGGUUGUAAACCGCUUUUAGUAGGGAAGAAGGGCUUCGGCUUGACGGUACCUGCAGAAAAAGGACCGGCUAACUACGUG